AGUGAACGCUGGCGGUAGGCCUAACACAUGCAAGUCGAACGGCAGCACAGUAAGAGCUUGCUCUUACGGGUGGCGAGUGGCGGACGGGUGAGGAAUACAUCGGAAUCUACUUUUUCGUGGGGGAUAACGUAGGGAAACUUACGCUAAUACCGCAUACGACCUACGGGUGAAAGCAGGGGAUCUUCGGACCUUGCGCGAUUGAAUGAGCCGAUGUCGGAUUAGCUAGUUGGCGGGGUAAAGGCCCACCAAGGCGACGAUCCGUAGCUGGUCUGAGAGGAUGAUCAGCCACACUGGAACUGAGACACGGUCCAGACUCCUACGGGAGGCAGCAGUGGGGAAUAUUGGACAAUGGGCGCAAGCCUGAUCCAGCCAGACCGCGUGGGUGAAGAAGGCCUUCGGGUUGUAAAGCCCUUUUGUUGGGAAAGAAAAGCAGUAGGUUAAUACCCCGCUGUUCUGACGGUACCCAAAGAAUAAGCACCGGCUAACUUCGUG
This 492-nucleotide ribosomal RNA is filed under the name uncultured bacterium. Its description in RNAcentral is "partial 16S ribosomal RNA". It matches the Rfam family "Bacterial small subunit ribosomal RNA", at positions 29 to 507 of the family's 1533-position model. The record is from RNAcentral.